RNAcentral lists this ribosomal RNA (671 nucleotides) under uncultured bacterium. RNAcentral describes it as "bacterial SSU rRNA". It matches the Rfam family "Bacterial small subunit ribosomal RNA", at positions 791 to 1457 of the family's 1533-position model. The record is from RNAcentral.
UAGUCCACGCCGUAAACGAUGAAUACUAGGUGUAGGGGUUGUCAUGACCUCUGUGCCGCCGCUAACGCAUUAAGUAUUCCGCCUGGGGAGUACGGUCGCAAGAUUAAAACUCAAAGGAAUUGACGGGGGCCCGCACAAGCAGCGGAGCAUGUGGUUUAAUUCGAAGCAACGCGAAGAACCUUACCUAGACUUGACAUCUCCUGCAUUACUCUUAAUCGAGGAAGUCCCUUCGGGGACAGGAUGACAGGUGGUGCAUGGUUGUCGUCAGCUCGUGUCGUGAGAUGUUGGGUUAAGUCCCGCAACGAGCGCAACCUUAUUGUUAGUUGCCAUCAUUAAGUUGGGCACUCUAGCGAGACUGCCCGGGUUAACCGGGAGGAAGGUGGGGAUGACGUCAAAUCAUCAUGCCCCUUAUGUCUAGGGCUACACACGUGCUACAAUGGUCGGUACAAUAGACGCAAGCCCAGCGAGGGGAGCAAACUGGAAAACCGAUCGUCAAGUUCAGAUUGUAGGCUGGAAAUCUCGCCUACAUGAAGCUGGAGUUGCUAAGUAUCGCGAAUCAGCAUGUCGCGGAUCGAAUACGUUCCCGGGGCCUUGUACACACCGCCCGUCACACCAUGAGAGUUGGCAAUACCCAAAGUACGUGAUCUAACCCGUAAGGGGAGGAAGCGUCC